This 76-nucleotide transfer RNA is filed under the name Dendrosporobacter quercicolus. Its description in RNAcentral is "tRNA_Asn_GTT". It matches the Rfam family "tRNA". Rfam says of the family: Transfer RNA (tRNA) molecules are approximately 80 nucleotides in length. The record is from RNAcentral. Lineage: Bacteria; Bacillati; Bacillota; Negativicutes; Selenomonadales; Sporomusaceae. RNAcentral also lists the same sequence under 9 other names.
UCCUCGAUAGCUCAGCUGGUAGAGCAAUCGGCUGUUAACCGAUCGGUCGUAGGUUCGAGUCCUACUCGAGGAGCCA